RNAcentral lists this ribosomal RNA (427 nucleotides) under uncultured Erysipelotrichaceae bacterium. RNAcentral's name for it is "partial 16S ribosomal RNA". It matches the Rfam family "Bacterial small subunit ribosomal RNA", at positions 355 to 774 of the family's 1533-position model. Lineage: Bacteria; Bacillati; Bacillota; Erysipelotrichia; Erysipelotrichales; Erysipelotrichaceae. The record is from RNAcentral.
UAGGGAAUAUUCGGCAAUGGGCGAAAGCCUGACCGAGCAAUGCCGCGUGAGUGAUGAAGGCCCCAUGGGUUGUAAAGCUCUGUUGUUAGGGAAGAGAAGUGUGUGUAGGAAAUGACACACAUAGGACUGUACCUAGCCAGAAAGUCACGGCUAACUACGUGCCAGCAGCCGCGGUAAUACGUAGGUGGCGAGCGUUAUCCGGAAUUAUUGGGCGUAAAGGGUGUGUAGGCGGUUUAUUAAGUUUGUAGUUAAAGGCAGUUGCUUAACGACUGUAUGCUAUGAAAACUGGUAGACUAGAGUGUGAGAGAGGUCGGUGGAAUUCCAUGUGUAGCGGUAAAAUGCGUAGAUAUAUGGAGGAACACCAGUGGCGAAGGCGGCCGACUGGAUCACAACUGACGCUGAGGCACGAAAGCGUGGGGAGCAAAUA